Molecule: ribosomal RNA, 315 nt
Filed under: uncultured eukaryote
Lineage: Eukaryota
Description: partial 18S ribosomal RNA
Rfam family: Eukaryotic small subunit ribosomal RNA
Source: RNAcentral
CCCUUAGAUGUUCUGGGCUGCACGCGCGCUACACUGACGCACGCAACAGGUGCCUGCUCCGAGAGGGCUGGGUAAUCAUUUGAGUGUGCGUCGUGAUGGGGAUAGAAUAUUGUAAUUAUUACUCUUCAACGAGGAAUUCCUAGUAAGCGCCAGUCAGCAGCUUGCGCUGAUUACGUCCCUGCCCUUUGUACACACCGCCCGUCGCUCCUACCGAUGGGUGAUCCGGUGAAUGAUUCGGACUUCAGCGGCUCCCCUGGGGUGCGCCGGAGAAAGUUUUGUGAACCUUAUCACUUGGAGGAAGGAGAAGUCGUAACA